Molecule: non-coding RNA, 24 nt
Filed under: Arabidopsis thaliana (thale cress)
Lineage: Eukaryota; Viridiplantae; Streptophyta; Magnoliopsida; Brassicales; Brassicaceae
Source: RNAcentral
ACGACAUGUCUAUUUUGGCCUGGU